This 402-nucleotide ribosomal RNA is filed under the name uncultured bacterium. Its description in RNAcentral is "bacterial SSU rRNA". It matches the Rfam family "Bacterial small subunit ribosomal RNA", at positions 355 to 774 of the family's 1533-position model. The record is from RNAcentral.
UCGGGAAUUUUGGGCAAUGGGCGAAAGCCUGACCCAGCAACGCCGCGUGAGGGAUGAAGUAUUUCGGCAUGUAAACCUCGAAAGAAUGGGAAGAAUAAAUGACGGUACCAUUUAUAAGCUCCGGCUAACUACGUGCCAGCAGCCGCGGUAAUACGUAGGGAGCAAGCGUUGUUCGGAUUUACUGGGCGUAAAGGGCACGUAGGCGGCGCGGUAAGUCACUUGUGAAAUCUCUGAGCUUAACUCAGAACGGCCAAGUGAUACUGCUGUGCUAGAGUGCGGAAGAGGCAACCGGAAUUCUUGGUGUAGCGGUGAAAUGCGUAGAUAUCAAGAGGAACACCUGAGGCGAAGGCGGGUUGCUGGGCCGACACUGACGCUGAUGCGCGAAGGCCAGGGGAGCAAACG